GGGUGUGCAGGAGAGGCUGAAUUCAGAGGAUGUGGUGUUUAGAACAGGAGAGGUCUGAGCAUGCUGGGUCAGCGGGGCCAGGGACAGCUGAAGCACGCAGGGGCGAAAGAAGUAAGAGUGCAGGGGUGAGUGGCAGAAGAUCUGGUGACCGAAGGUCACAGAGCGGGGCUCUGGAAGAAUGCCAGGCGCCUGGACUGAGGAAGACAACUUGGAAGAGGCUCCUGGGUUCCUUGGCAUGGAGCUGGGCACACAACCAACCCCGAGGACCAGCUGCAAUGGGCAAGGAGGGAGAGAGAUGGGCUUCACGUGCAUGCCAAGCUGCUGGAAAGGAAUCUCUGCACCCAAUGUGGGGCUCAAACU
Long non-coding RNA from Hyaena hyaena (striped hyena), 360 nucleotides. RefSeq lists it as uncharacterized. The record is from RefSeq and is a predicted model, not a curated record. NCBI's taxonomy places the organism in Eukaryota, Metazoa, Chordata, Mammalia, Carnivora, Hyaenidae. The transcript has 3 exons.